This 253-nucleotide ribosomal RNA is filed under the name uncultured bacterium. RNAcentral describes it as "partial 16S ribosomal RNA". It matches the Rfam family "Bacterial small subunit ribosomal RNA", at positions 524 to 776 of the family's 1533-position model. The record is from RNAcentral.
UACGUAGGGGGCAAGCGUUGUCCGGAUUUAUUGGGCGUAAAGAGCGUGUAGGCGGUCAGGUAGGUCGGUUGUGAAAACUGGAGGCUCAACCUUCAGAGGUCGACCGAAACCCCCUGGCUAGAGUCCGGGAGAGGAGAGUGGAAUUCCUGGUGUAGCGGUGAAAUGCGCAGAUAUCAGGAAGAACACCCGUGGUGAAAGCGGCUCUCUGGAACGGUACUGACGCUGAGACGCGAAAGCGUGGGGAGCGAACAGG